Cyprinus carpio carpio is the source of this 1875-nucleotide long non-coding RNA. The record is from Ensembl. Lineage: Eukaryota; Metazoa; Chordata; Actinopteri; Cypriniformes; Cyprinidae.
CUGAGAGUAAAAUGGUCGCCAUGGAAUUUGCAAUGGCUCCAUUUCUGAAAAUGUUUAGGGCCGCAAACUAUACAAGUGUACCAAGUUUCAUGCUUGUAUGAAAAAGUGAACAUUAUUUUCACAUACACCUAGACCAGGGGCCUCCAACCCUGCUCCUACAGAGCUAUCGUCCUGCAGACUUCAGUUCCAACCCUGCUCCAAUACACCUGUCUGUAAUUAUCAAGUAUCCCUAAACACCUUGAUUAGCUGGUUCAGGUGUGUUUAAAUGGGAUUGGAGCAGAAAUCUGUAGAACGGUAGCUCUCCAGGAGCAGGGUUGGAGACCACUGACCUAGACUAUACUGAAAUAUACAGAUGAAAUGAUACAGUUGUUACAGAUGAGAUAAUUGUUUUGUCUGAUUUUUUUUUCUACAUUUAUAGCAUAAAAGUCAUUAUUAGAUUUUUCAUAACAAACAUCUUUUUUUCUUUUUCUUUUUCCCUUUUUUUUGUGAGAUGUAAAAAUAUUAGGGCCGGGACUUUAACGCGUUAAUUGAGAUUAAUUAAUUACACAAAAAAUAACGCGUUAAUUAAGAUUAAUUAAUUACACAAAAAAUUUUGCGCAUUUUUAAUAACUUAUUUUUGCACUGCGGAACGUUUCUCACUGGAUGAGUUUCGGCGGACCGAUUAUACUGGAGCACCAACUAGCGUUCAUGACUUCAGACAACAAACCACAGUGAACAUGAACGAAGAAGCAGACGAGACCGCUUUGGUUCAAGUAGGGCUCGCUGCAGCCUGCGGUGGACAUCCAACCCCGCCCACAUCCAAGUGUGACGUCAGAAGUCACGCCCAUCCCCGACACAACCCCGCCCACAUCCAAGUGUGACGUCAGAAGUCACGCCCAUCCCGACACAACCCCGCCCACGUCCAAGUGUGACGUAAACGAAAGCCACGCCCAUAUCAAAUACGUCUCCUCAUGUGAUUUCCCCAUCCCCGUACCUGGAAACCCGGAAGUAGUCUUUGAUGGCAUUCUGUUGAUUUUUACUGUCCAUCUGGAGAAUGGCAGGCCCUGUCACCUCCCCACAGAAUAACCCACGAUGACUCUGUACCACGCUGGACCAAUGUCCCUUACAAACUUCCACUUUAUGUCCUCUUGGCGCUCCUGUUAAAAAUAGAGAAUACAUACGUGUUGGGGGUAUAUGUGUCCUCUUAAAAUUAUUUACCUCAUCAUUCUACAUAAACAUAUUUAUGAUUUUAAACCACAAAAAUCAAUCAAUAUCUAAAGAAAUGCUCUCACCAUACCUCCAUGCACCACUGCAUGGCUUAUGUGGUCCUUCAAGUGAACUGUAACAAGUAAUUUUCUUUACUGGUGAAACUGCAGCAGGGACCCCUUAACCCGGGAGAACUGCUCUGCAUCAGGCUUGGACUGAAAAUAUAGAAUGUAGAAUGCUGUAAAACAUGACAAACAAACAUUAGGUGAUCUUUUCGUUAACAGAAGAAUACAAAGAUAAUUUGUGACAUACACAGAGUUAUCCAGCAAGACAUAAUGAAAUGAUGCGGUUGCCCAACCAAGUUACUGUGCAUGGGUACUGUGAUCAGAGUAUAUCAUUAAAGAGGUUAUAUGUAUGUGAGUGUUUUGUGUGUGUGUGUGGUGGUGGUGGGGGGGGGCAGGUAAGUACAUAUGUGUGAGAGGGAUGAAGUGUGUGUGUCUGAGUGGGUAAGAUGAGUGUUAUGUGUUGGGGGAAGGGUAUAAAAAAAUAUUGCACAUUGAUUCAUAAUUGAUUUUAUGUUGUAAGACUUGUGCCUUCUAUCUAUCUAUCUAUCUAUCUAUCUAUCUAUCUAUCUAUCUAUCUAUCUAUCUAUCUAUCUAUCUAUCUAUCUAUCUAUCUAUCUAUCUGUCU